UAGUGACAACCUGAGACAUGUACAUGUU
Molecule: non-coding RNA, 28 nt
Filed under: Mus musculus (house mouse)
Lineage: Eukaryota; Metazoa; Chordata; Mammalia; Rodentia; Muridae
Source: RNAcentral